Molecule: ribosomal RNA, 493 nt
Filed under: Cladosporium cladosporioides
Lineage: Eukaryota; Fungi; Ascomycota; Dothideomycetes; Cladosporiales; Cladosporiaceae
Description: eukaryotic LSU rRNA
Rfam family: 5.8S ribosomal RNA (bases 136-289)
Source: RNAcentral
CCGGGAUGUUCAUAACCCUUUGUUGUCCGACUCUGUUGCCUCCGGGGCGACCCUGCCUUCGGGCGGGGGCUCCGGGUGGACACUUCAAACUCUUGCGUAACUUUGCAGUCUGAGUAAACUUAAUUAAUAAAUUAAAACUUUUAACAACGGAUCUCUUGGUUCUGGCAUCGAUGAAGAACGCAGCGAAAUGCGAUAAGUAAUGUGAAUUGCAGAAUUCAGUGAAUCAUCGAAUCUUUGAACGCACAUUGCGCCCCCUGGUAUUCCGGGGGGCAUGCCUGUUCGAGCGUCAUUUCACCACUCAAGCCUCGCUUGGUAUUGGGCAACGCGGUCCGCCGCGUGCCUCAAAUCGACCGGCUGGGUCUUCUGUCCCCUAAGCGUUGUGGAAACUAUUCGCUAAAGGGUGUUCGGGAGGCUACGCCGUAAAACAACCCCAUUUCUAAGGUUGACCUCGGAUCAGGUAGGGAUACCCGCUGAACUUAAGCAUAUCAAUAAG